ACUUCAGAUGGUGUGGCUCCGGGGAAGGAUCAUCUUCUUUCCACACCAUAGCCUUUCCCACUCCCAUCCCACUGAGAGCCAUUAUCCAAUAAAAUCCUCCACAUACACUACCCUACCCUUCAAUACGUUCAUGGGACCUAAGUUUUCUUAGACGCCGGACAAGAACCCAGGUGCCAAGAGGGCAGAGGCUCGAACGCUGCUGCGGGCCACACAGCGCCUGCUCCCGCCAGCGAGGAGCGACUGGCCAGAUUCAGCGUUUGUUACCUCCAGUUCCCGCAGUCUCUGGCUCUCGCGCUUCCUCUCGUGGGGCGUGGCUAGCGGCGGCCUGACUGAAAGGAGCCACCCCAGUUUCCGCCCACCAAGGAGGCCGAGGGAACAAUCCCAUCUCAUCUGGAGGCCCGUCCGGGAUGCAGCAGACGAGCGACUUACUAUACACCUUGAAGUGCUCUGAUGGAAGGUAUGGAAACCUCUGAAAGGAAGCCGUCCAAGUAGGAACUGUCAACAAAAAUGUCUUGUAUGAGUCGACACUGUAA
Non-coding RNA from Macaca mulatta (Rhesus monkey), 533 nucleotides. The record is from RefSeq and is a predicted model, not a curated record. NCBI's taxonomy places the organism in Eukaryota, Metazoa, Chordata, Mammalia, Primates, Cercopithecidae.